GCCCCCAUAGCUCAGAGGCCAGAGCAGCGCUCUUGUAAAGCGAAGGUCAUCGGUUCGACUCCGAUUGGGGGCU
Molecule: transfer RNA, 73 nt
Filed under: Naumannella halotolerans
Lineage: Bacteria; Bacillati; Actinomycetota; Actinomycetes; Propionibacteriales; Propionibacteriaceae
Also listed under: 2 other names
Description: Propionibacteriaceae bacterium WS4616 tRNA
Rfam family: tRNA
About the family: Transfer RNA (tRNA) molecules are approximately 80 nucleotides in length. Their secondary structure includes four short double-helical elements and three loops (D, anti-codon, and T loops).
Source: Rfam by way of RNAcentral